RNAcentral lists this ribosomal RNA (694 nucleotides) under uncultured bacterium. RNAcentral describes it as "bacterial SSU rRNA". It matches the Rfam family "Bacterial small subunit ribosomal RNA", at positions 32 to 715 of the family's 1533-position model. The record is from RNAcentral.
AACGCUAGCUACAGGCUUAACACAUACAAGUCGAGGGGUAACGAGAGGAAAGCUUGCUUUCCUUGUCGACGACCGGCGCACGGGUGAGUAACGCGUAUCCAACCUGCCCCCAACUAGGGAAUAACCUUGCGAAAGUAAGACUAAUACCCUAUAAUUUCCUCAGAUGUCAUCUGACGAGGAAUAAAGAUUUAUCGGUUGUGGAUGGGGAUGCGUCUGAUUAGCUUGUUGGCGGGGUAAUGGCCCACCAAGGCAACGAUCAGUAGGGGUUCUGAGAGGAAGGUCCCCCACAUUGGAACUGAGACACGGUCCAAACUCCUACGGGAGGCAGCAGUGAGGAAUAUUGGUCAAUGGGCGGAAGCCUGAACCAGCCAAGUAGCGUGCAGGAUGACGGCCCUAUGGGUUGUAAACUGCUUUUAUACAGGAAUAAAGUUAGCCACGUGUGGUUAUUUGUAGGUACUGUAUGAAUAAGGACCGGCUAAUUCCGUGCCAGCAGCCGCGGUAAUACGGAAGGUCCAGGCGUUAUCCGGAUUUAUUGGGUUUAAAGGGAGCGUAGGCCGUCUGUUAAGCGUGUUGUGAAAUGUAGAUGCUCAACAUCUGAAUUGCAGCGCGAACUGGCAGACUUGAGUGUGCGCAACGUAGGCGGAAUUCGUGGUGUAGCGGUGAAAUGCUUUGAUAUCACGAAGAACUCCGAUUG